UACGUAGGUGACCAGCGUUGUCCGGAUUUACUGGGCGUAAAGAGCGCGCAGGCGGUCGUUCAAGUCGAGUGUGAAAGCCCCCGGCUCAACUGGGGAGGGUCACUCGAUACUGAUCGACUUGAAGGCAGGAGAGGGAAGCGGAAUUCCCGGUGUAGUGGUGAAAUGCGUAGAUAUCGGGAGGAACACCAGUGGCGAAGGCGGUUCUCUGGGCAUUACCUGACGCUGAGGAGCGAAAGUGUGGGGAGCGAACAGG
Molecule: ribosomal RNA, 253 nt
Filed under: uncultured bacterium
Lineage: Bacteria
Description: partial 16S ribosomal RNA
Rfam family: Bacterial small subunit ribosomal RNA
Source: RNAcentral